This 491-nucleotide ribosomal RNA is filed under the name uncultured bacterium. RNAcentral describes it as "partial 16S ribosomal RNA". It matches the Rfam family "Bacterial small subunit ribosomal RNA", at positions 29 to 507 of the family's 1533-position model. The record is from RNAcentral.
AGUGAACGCUGGCGGUAGGCCUAACACAUGCAAGUCGAACGGCAGCACAGUAAGAGCUUGCUCUUACGGGUGGCGAGUGGCGGACGGGUGAGGAAUACAUCGGAAUCUACUUUUUCGUGGGGGAUAACGUAGGGAAACUUACGCUAAUACCGCAUACGACCUACGGGUGAAAGCAGGGGAUCUUCGGACCUUGCGCGAUGAAUGAGCCGAUGUCGGAUUAGCUAGUUGGCGGGGUAAAGGCCCACCAAGGCGACGAUCCGUAGCUGGUCUGAGAGGAUGAUCAGCCACACUGGAACUGAGACACGGUCCAGACUCCUACGGGAGGCAGCAGUGGGGAAUAUUGGACAAUGGGCGCAAGCCUGAUCCAGCCAUACCGCGUGGGUGAAGAAGGCCUUCGGGUUGUAAAGCCCUUUUGUUGGGAAAGAAAAGCAGCAGGUUAAUACCCCGCUGUUCUGACGGUACCCAAAGAAUAAGCACCGGCUAACUUCGUG